Molecule: ribosomal RNA, 497 nt
Filed under: uncultured bacterium
Lineage: Bacteria
Description: partial 16S ribosomal RNA
Rfam family: Bacterial small subunit ribosomal RNA
Source: RNAcentral
GAUGAACGCUGGCGGCGUGCCUAAUACAUGCAAGUCGAGCGAACAGACGCGGCUCUUGCUCCUCUGUCGUUAGCGGCGCGCGUGUGAGUCACACGUGUAUCCCCCACUUGUCAUACUGAUAUCACUUCGAAACACCGGAUCUAAUACCGUAUAAUCUCUUGCUCCGCGUGGUUCAAUAGUGAGAUACGGCUUUUCUGUCUCUUCUCGAUGCUUCCGCGCUGUAUUGGCUAGUUGGUAAGGUCACGGCUUACCACGGCAACGAUGCGUAGCCGACGUGAGAGGGUGGUCGGCGACACUGGAAGGGAGACACGGUCCAGAGUCCUACGGGAGGCAGCAGUAGGGAAUCUGCCGCAGUGGGCGAAAGCAUGACGGAGCAAGGGCGAGUGAGUGAUGGAGGUGUUCGGAUCGUAAAACUCUGUUAUGAGGGAAGAACAGAUGUGGAAGGAACUAUGCACGUCUUGACGGUAACGAAUCAGAAAGCAACGGCUAACUACGUG